AUCGAACGCUGGCGGCAGGCCUAACACAUGCAAGUCGAACGAGUGGCGGACGGGUGAGUAAUGUCUGGGAAACUGCCCGAUGGAGGGGGAUAACUACUGGAAACGGUAGCUAAUACCGCAUACCAUCGGAUGUGCCCAGUUGGGAUUAGCUAGUAGGUGGGGUAACGGCUCACCUGGGCGACGAUCCCUAGCUGGUCCGAGAGGAUGACCGGCCACACGGGAACGAAGAAACGGUCCAGACUCCUACGGGAGGAAGCGGUGGGGAAUAUUGCACAAUGAGCGCAAGCCGGAUGCGGCAAGGCGCCGUGUAUGAAGAGGGCCUUCGGGUGGUAAAGUACUUUCAGCGGGGAGGCGUUACUCGCAGAGAAAGCACCGGCUAACUCCGUGCCAGCAGCCGCGGUAAUAC
This 406-nucleotide ribosomal RNA is filed under the name uncultured bacterium. RNAcentral describes it as "partial 16S ribosomal RNA". It matches the Rfam family "Bacterial small subunit ribosomal RNA", at positions 29 to 526 of the family's 1533-position model. The record is from RNAcentral.